This 393-nucleotide ribosomal RNA is filed under the name Cryptocercus primarius. RNAcentral's name for it is "partial 12S small subunit ribosomal RNA". Lineage: Eukaryota; Metazoa; Arthropoda; Insecta; Blattodea; Cryptocercidae. The record is from RNAcentral.
UAUUAUUUUUGAUGUUAAUUAUUUAACCUGAGUAGUAAUAGAUAUGAUCUUGAAACUUAAAGAAUUUGGCAGUAUUUUAUUCUGUUUAGAGGAACCUGUUCUUUUAUCGAUAAUCCUCGUUGGACCUUACUUAAUUUAUUGAUUUGUAUACCGCCGUUGUAUUGAGAGUCUUUUUAGUGUUUUUAAUUUUCUGGAUUUUAUUUUAAAUUAUUUCAGGUCAAGGUGCAAUUUAUGGUUAAGUAGAAAUGGGUUACGUUUAUAUUUAUUUUUGGAUUAUUGAAUGAAAUUUUAAUAUGAAAUUGGAUUUGAAUGUAAUUAUUAUUUUAGAUUGUAGUAAUGAUUUAGUUUCUGGAGUGUGUACACAUCGCCCGUCACUCUCGUUAUUUAUUCGAG